AAUUUGUAGUAACAAUUUUUUCACUCCUGCCCUGUUUUAUCUCCUUUUUCUGGAAGGAAAACAAUUGAGGAGGGGUGUCAAGGUCCAUCCAGAGCUCCUGUUUUCCCCAGUUGCCUUAGAAUCAGAGUGGAGGAGGCAGCUGAAACAGUCACCUGUAAAAACAGGUGCUGUGAAAAAGAAUAAGCAGCUCUGCAGAUGAUGAAUAAUCUAAUGAAGUCAGGAAAAGCUGCAUAAUUAAGCAAGGUUGAGGUAAAACCACAGCUAUUUUGGAAGAGUUCUAACUUUAACAAG
RNAcentral lists this long non-coding RNA (291 nucleotides) under Cyanistes caeruleus (blue tit). RNAcentral's name for it is "lncRNA (ENSCCEG00000011310.1)". Lineage: Eukaryota; Metazoa; Chordata; Aves; Passeriformes; Paridae. The record is from RNAcentral.